RNAcentral lists this long non-coding RNA (345 nucleotides) under Rattus norvegicus (Norway rat). RNAcentral's name for it is "long non-coding RNA NONRATT012537". The record is from RNAcentral. Lineage: Eukaryota; Metazoa; Chordata; Mammalia; Rodentia; Muridae.
UCCCGUGCUCCACCAGCGUCUGAAUGUAGUUUAUUUGCCUUGGAACAUCCCUUGAGAAUAUGUUUUGUGAGUUUAGGGUGGAGUGCAGAAGUAUAGGUGACACCUCUGAAGCUUUGCUUUUGGGUGUCCCGGAGCACGAGGGGAGGGAGGAAGCAGAUCUGAAUUCCCAUCUUGCGAGAAUCUUCUGCAGAUCCAGCUUGCAGCUAGCGUGAGCCUCCAGUUGGUAGAGAAUGGCUAGAGAACCCGGAGCGUGCGCAGCCCUAAACGCUCCAUCUGCAGAAGAGGGGACUGGGUUUCUAGUGGUGAAAGUGGAACCGGAAGAGGCCUCCCAGUUGGCAGAGGAGC